Molecule: transfer RNA, 74 nt
Filed under: Methanobacteriota archaeon
Lineage: Archaea; Methanobacteriati; Methanobacteriota
Also listed under: 1 other name
Description: Euryarchaeota archaeon tRNA-Ile
Rfam family: tRNA
About the family: Transfer RNA (tRNA) molecules are approximately 80 nucleotides in length. Their secondary structure includes four short double-helical elements and three loops (D, anti-codon, and T loops).
Source: RNAcentral
GGGCGGGUAGCUUAGCUUGGUGGAGCACCCGGCUGAUAACCGGGAGGUCGCAGGUUCAAAUCCUGCCUCGCCCA